GAUGAACGCUGGCGGCGUGCCUAAUACAUGCAAGUCGAGCGAACGGACGAGAAGCUUGCUUCUCUGAUGUUAGCGGCGGACGGGUGAGUAACACGUGGAUAACCUACCUAUAAGACUGGGAUAACUUCGGGAAACCGGAGCUAAUACCGGAUAAUAUUUUGAACCGCAUGGUUCAAAAGUGAAAGACGGUCUUGCUGUCACUUAUAGAUGGAUCCGCGCUGCAUUAGCUAGUUGGUAAGGUAACGGCUUACCAAGGCAACGAUGCAUAGCCGACCUGAGAGGGUGAUCGGCCACACUGGAACUGAGACACGGUCCAGACUCCUACGGGAGGCAGCAGUAGGGAAUCUUCCGCAGUGGGCGAAAGCCUGACGGAGCAACGCCGCGUGAGUUAUGAAGGUCUUCGGAUCGUAAAACUCUGUUAUUAGGGAAGAACAUAUGUGUAAGUAACUGUGCACAUCUUGACGGUACCUAAUCAGAAAGCCACGGCUAACUACGUG
This 497-nucleotide ribosomal RNA is filed under the name uncultured bacterium. Its description in RNAcentral is "partial 16S ribosomal RNA". It matches the Rfam family "Bacterial small subunit ribosomal RNA", at positions 28 to 507 of the family's 1533-position model. The record is from RNAcentral.